This 1343-nucleotide ribosomal RNA is filed under the name uncultured bacterium. RNAcentral describes it as "16S ribosomal RNA". It matches the Rfam family "Bacterial small subunit ribosomal RNA", at positions 28 to 1378 of the family's 1533-position model. The record is from RNAcentral.
GACGAACGCUGGCGGCGUGCUUAACACAUGCAAGUCGAACGGAAAGGCCCUGCUUUUGUGGGGUGCUCGAGUGGCGAACGGGUGAGUAACACGUGAGUAACCUGCCCUUGACUUUGGGAUAACUUCAGGAAACUGGGGCUAAUACCGGAUAGGAGCUCCUGCUGCAUGGUGGGGGUUGGAAAGUUUCGGCGGUUGGGGAUGGACUCGCGGCUUAUCAGCUUGUUGGUGGGGUAGUGGCUUACCAAGGCUUUGACGGGUAGCCGGCCUGAGAGGGUGACCGGCCACAUUGGGACUGAGAUACGGCCCAGACUCCUACGGGAGGCAGCAGUGGGGAAUAUUGCACAAUGGGCGGAAGCCUGAUGCAGCAACGCCGCGUGCGGGAUGACGGCCUUCGGGUUGUAAACCGCUUUCGCCUGUGACGAAGCGUGAGUGACGGUAAUGGGUAAAGAAGCACCGGCUAACUACGUGCCAGCAGCCGCGGUGAUACGUAGGGUGCGAGCGUUGUCCGGAUUUAUUGGGCGUAAAGGGCUCGUAGGUGGUUGAUCGCGUCGGAAGUGUAAUCUUGGGGCUUAACCCUGAGCGUGCUUUCGAUACGGGUUGACUUGAGGAAGGUAGGGGAGAAUGGAAUUCCUGGUGGAGCGGUGGAAUGCGCAGAUAUCAGGAGGAACACCAGUGGCGAAGGCGGUUCUCUGGGCCUUUCCUGACGCUGAGGAGCGAAAGCGUGGGGAGCGAACAGGCUUAGAUACCCUGGUAGUCCACGCUGUAAACGGUGGGUACUAGGUGUGGGGUCCAUUCCACGGGUUCCGUGCCGUAGCUAACGCUUUAAGUACCCCGCCUGGGGAGUACGGCCGCAAGGCUAAAACUCAAAGGAAUUGACGGGGCCCCGCACAAGCGGCGGAGCAUGCGGAUUAAUUCGAUGCAACGCGUAGAACCUUACCUGGGUUUGACAUGGAUCGGGAGUGCUCAGAGAUGGGUGUGCCUCUUUUGGGGUCGGUUCACAGGUGGUGCAUGCCUGUCGUCAGCUCGUGUCGUGAGAUGUUGGGUUAAGUCCCGCAACGAGCGCAACCCUUGUUCACUGUUGCCAGCACGUUAUGGUGGGGACUCAGUGGAGACCGCCGGGGUCAACUCGGAGGAAGGUGGGGAUGACGUCAAGUCAUCAUGCCCCUUAUGUCCAGGGCUUCACGCAUGCUACAAUGGCUGGUACAGAGAGUGGCGAGCCUGUGAGGGUGAGCGAAUCUCGGAAAGCCGGUCUCAGUUCGGAUUGGGGUCUGCAACUCGACCUCAUGAAGUCGGAGUCGCUAGUAAUCGCAGAUCAGCAACGCUGCGAUGAAUACGUUCCCGGG